CCGGCCAAAGGAAAACCAACGGAAGAAAAAAGGAAGAAAAGAAGAACAAAAACCCUAAGUGGAAAAAUUCAAUGGAAAAGUGUGAAAAUUCAAGGAAACAAGUGACAAAAGGUAAGAUUUUUCGAUUCUAGCUUGUGAUCUACCUUUCCCAUGCAUCCUUUUUCAUUUUCCAUGGUUGAGAAUCAAGUUUUCAUGAUGAAUCCCUUGCUGGCCGAACACCUAAGAGAGAGAAUUUGAUGAUGAUUUGGUUAGAUUUUAAAGUAUUUUGGUGUUUUUAGUUAGUUAGUGAUGUGNAAUAAAUAUUAAUAUUUAAAUUAAAUACAUAAUAAUAUUUAAAUUAAAUAAAUGUUAAUAUUUAAAUGAUUAAUUAUUAAUAUUUUAAUUAAAUUCUAGAUUAUUAAUAUUUAAAAAAUCUAAUAAAAAUAAAAUGUCAUAUAAAUAAUAAAGGGUAUUUUUGUCUUUUUAUUUUCUAUUCCUUUCUUAUUCCAAAAUUAUUGUUACCAACCAAACACUACAAUAAGUCAUAAUAAUUAUUCUUGUCCUAUUCUCUUUGUCAUACCAAACUAAAUAAUAACUAUUCUAUUCUAUUUUCACCUCAUUCUAUUCCCACAUAAUAACUAUUCUAUUGCAUUCCUGUCUAUUCUGCCAACUAAACGUACCAUAAUUAUCUAAAGUACGUUUUAUUCGAUUUUGUAAAUUUUAUAGAAAAUGAAUUAAAUGAUUAAUUUUUUUGUUUUAUAAACAAAAUGUGAUUUAAUGAAAAUGAUUUUAUAAACAAAAUGAAAAUUGUCUUGACAAUAGAGUAACUAGAGACCACUUGAGGUGUUGUAAAUUUAUGAUUUGAAUUGAUGGCUUAUGUUAAUGUGUUGGCAUGACUGGCUGAGUUGUGUUUUUGUUAACUGUAUGAAUUGCUCUAUUUUACAUUUACAAGCUGGAUAGUAUUAUAUUAGUCAUGUCAUGCUAUCAAAAUUUUAUUGUAUAGUGGGUUUAGCUUGCUGCAAUAGGCGAAUUCUGUGGACCAGCCUAUUAGAGGGGCACGGAAUCCCGUUAUAUUUUACCUCAGUUGGAGAGGCGAGUAGGGUAACUCCCGAGGUAUAACUUUAGAGUUUACUUCACGUCAAACCACCUCGUGCUGAUGAACUCAGCUAACGCCAAGGAACGGCUAUGUUUUUAAAAUAAAAACAUGAAUUAUGUGUACAUAACUUUUUAACAGCCUUGACGGACUCGGUUGGAAUAACCCUCGAUCAAGGUAUCCCUGAUAACUGGGUAUGAGAAUGAUUUUGGCACGAGCCAAAGUUUUAAGAAAUUCAUAAGCCAUGUUGAUUACUCGAUUUAUAUGAAUUGAUUUUAUUUGGUUGCAAUGCGUUGAAAGGUGAUAAAUUACAGUAUGAUGAUUUAUUUUAUCUGUCUCCAUUUACUCCACUUUAGAUAUUUUAGAUGGUAUUUGUUUACUCACUGGGAUUAUAUAAUCUCAUCACCCUCAUUUCCACCCAUUUCAGGCUUAGGAUAGUCUAUAGAUAGCUGAUUUCAUCGAGGACUACCAUUGGAUUUGCAUCCUCCAAACUGUAGGUUCACAGUUUUUCUUACUUUUGGUUAUUCGAGGGCCCACUUGUUACUGUAAAUUAAAUUAAAUACUCUGGCUUACUGUAUUACAGUAUAUAUGAAUUUAUUUUGUUUUUAAGCUACAAAAAUUUAUUUAUGCAAUGUUCUAAAAAUAUUGUUUUAUGAGAAAAUUGAAUAUUUUAUUCUAAUAGUCAUAAUUUCAUUUUAAAUGAAUGUUUUAGACAUCCAAAUUUAUUUUUGAUUAUGAAUUAUGUGUUUUGUACUCGCCUACUACAUUUUUAGCUGGUUUUGAGAUUUUUGAGAAAAACUUACCAAAAUGCCCCUGUGAGAAAAAAAUUAUUUUUCUUUUGUUUUGAUUUGGAAAUAGUUUAUAAUCUCUCAAAACGUGAUACUUAACAACUGUUGCUCACAGGGUAGUUGCGAAAACUGAUAUCAAAGCCUUGUGAGGUUUCGAUUGACAUUCCGGGCAGUGAAUGUCUAUCGGAGCGUCGCGACGAUUGUCACAGGCUCGAGGGGAGUAUCGGAUCGUGACAAAUGAUGUAUGUACUUUGCUGAUCCCUAAAGACGUAAGCCUUAUACAUUGGGCUUACCUUCAUUCCAUAACUCAUAUUGAGUUGUGGAAACAAAUUUUAAAGGCACAUAGUUGAGGAUGUAUGCCGCGGUCAAAAAGGCAUCCGCCCAAAAACUUAUUGGAAGGUUGGUUUGUGCCAUUAUUGACCUAACCAUGUCUAACAAAGUACGAUUCCUUCUUUUUGCAACAUUGUUUUGUUGCGGAGUUCUAAGUAUCGUUAAUUGUCAACAAAUUCCUUUUUCCUCAUAUAAUUCUUUGAACUUAUCAAAUUGGUAUUCAUGACCUCUAUCAGUGUAAAAAACCUUAAUUUUCCUUUCUUUAUGAUUCUCAACCUCUAUCAUAAAGCAUUUGAAACAAUACAAAGCUUCAGAACAGUGAGACAAUAGAAAUAUGGAUCCAUAUUGUGAGUAAUCAUUUAUGAAUGUAUUGAAAUAGGAUGGGCCAUUACAUGCCUUUACAUUCAUAGGCCCACAAAUGUCCGAAUGGACAAGUUCUAGAAGAUAGGUGGCCCUUUUAGCCUUCCCAAAAAGUUUUCAGCUAGAAUUACCAACAAGACAUGGCUCACAUGUAGCAAGUUUAACUUCAACGAGUGAGCCCGAUAACCUUUC
RNAcentral lists this long non-coding RNA (2742 nucleotides) under Theobroma cacao (cacao). RNAcentral's name for it is "long non-coding RNA (TCAC_LNC005867)". The record is from RNAcentral. Lineage: Eukaryota; Viridiplantae; Streptophyta; Magnoliopsida; Malvales; Malvaceae.